Molecule: long non-coding RNA, 2506 nt
Organism: Ictalurus punctatus (channel catfish)
Lineage: Eukaryota; Metazoa; Chordata; Actinopteri; Siluriformes; Ictaluridae
Source: Ensembl
UUAAUAUAAUUAUGUUCUAAAGCAUGUAAAACGGGAACAUGACGGGAGUAUUCUAAAAGCGACGCAUGUAAACACCUCAAUCACAGUAUUAUCUUACUCAGAGUAAGGUCAAUAAUUAGAUUACUGCCGUCCAUGUAAACGUAGUCAUUGGUAGACGGCUACCUCACACUGCCUUUUCUUUCCCUUCUGUACUGUCUGCCUUUGUUUACUGAUAUUUUUUGUUUGCGCAUUUCGUUUUUUUCUUCUCAGCUGGCUAAUGUUAGUUAACUGCGCAGUUAGCUAGCCUACAUAUAACUCGAUACAUUCACAUUCCAACGGACUAAACCAGAUCGAACCGAAUCAAACACCUUUAACAGAGUUAACACUUCCGAACUUUUUAACCCGAUAAACGUGACGUUAAACCUGUUUCUGUUCCUCUGUACAGCUGACGCUUCAACCACUGCAGGACAAGAGUGCGGAGUUUAUCUAUUGGAAACCAUGCAGGUGUGCACGUGAUAGGGCGGGUGUGCACGUGAUAGGGCGGGUGUGCACGUGAUAGGGCGGGUAGACGCAGGCGCAACAGGAGAUGAGAGUUCAGUAGCCGAGCACACCACGACGUAUGGUCAUUUCUAUUUGUUUUUAAGUUUUGUUUGUGGGUAACGGUGGCCACUGGCGACUGGCAGAAAAAACAUGGCCGCAAAAUUAAAAAGUUAGUCGCAUUGGCGACCAUUUUAGUGGCCAUCUGGAGCCCCGGAUCUCAACGGACAAAGUGAGCUAUUCUAAAGUGAACACCACCUCCAUUAUGAAAAUGCUCCUUACACAUUUUCCUAUAGGCUGUAGCAGCUCUUACAACACCAAGGUGACACGAAGUCUAAAACGGAGCUUGAAUUCUGUAAAGAGUUGGAGAAAGAUGUGGGUAGAUAGUCAGAGUCGCUAAUUAGCUAAUGGCUUAGCUUACCACAAACAACACAUUACACACAGUUUUAUUACAGACAUUUAUUGUAUUAAAUCGUAAAACAAAACAAAAAUCGUUCAUGAUAAGUAUAUUACGACUAAUAUGAUCGUACUAACUAUAUAAACAUGUGUAUUCACAAUGGGUAAGACAAUGAGGACAUUCUCAGGUGGCUGAUAUGGCAUGGAGAAAGUCUGAUCUUCGGUAGCUACAACAGCAUUUAAACCCAGCGGGUCGUCGACACACGGAACUGGAAGCUACAAAACAUGGGGGAGAAAGACCUACGUUAAAAUUCCUGUGAGGUUAAAACAACAUUUGUGCGCUUUAAUGUUACCUUAAUUGUUCUGUGUUAUUAAUGAAUAAAAUCUAGGUCUUUUCAUGGAGAAAAAGACCUACAUUAAAAUUUCUAUCUGGGAAUAAAACACUGUUGGUGUUUUUAAUGCUAACUUCAUUUAUUAGAAUGAAAAUAAGAAAAAAAAAAUAGAAGUACAAAAGGAAACUUACCGGUAGCUGAUUUCUCAGCGGGAAUUCCUCGUUUCCGUAAACCUCCACGGCGUUUUCAGGCACCGGGUCGUCCACACACUGAACUGGAAGCUACAAAACACAGAGAAAAAAGACCUACGUUAAAAUUCCUGUGUGGGAAUAAUACACUGUUGGUGUUAAUAACGCUACCGGCAUUUAUUAGAAUGAAAAUGAGAAAAAUAGAAAAGAGAGAGAGAGAGAGAGAGAAGCAGCCCCGUUUUGUUGUAAGAGCGCAGGCAUUACAUAAGGAAACUUACUGGGAUUUGAAAUCUGGGAUUUGAAAUGGGGAAAAUGUCGUUCUCAUAAAUAACCACGCCAUUUAAUCCAGCCUGGUCGUCCACACACUGAACUGGAAACUGCAGAACACAGAGAAAUAAGACCUACAUGUAGUGUUUAGUGACAUGUUUAUAAUACAGAAGAAUGACUAAUGUUACAGUAUGUUUGUGAAAAAGAAAAUUGACAUAAAAGCUUCAUAUAGUUGUUCAUUAUUAACGGAAAUAUUUAACAUUUGCUAUUCGUCAAGCGAGUUCAAGACGUCAAUUAGUUUAAGCUUUGACUUCAUCACACAGGAUUCUUCUCUUGGUCGACAGGCCUCAACCUGAAUCUCCGUCAGUAUUAAGUAAACGGUAAUUGGCGCACAUAUAGCGUUUUUAUCCAAAGCGCUUUACACUGGGUCUCAUUCACACUCACACCAGUGGUAGCAGAGCUGCCAUGCAAGGCGCUAACUUGUCAUCGGGAGCAACUCGGGGUUCAGCGUCUUACCCAAGGACACUUCAGCAUGUGGAGUCACGCGGGCCGGGAAUCGAACCACCGACCCUACGAUUAGUGACAACCCGCUCUACCACCUGAUCCACAGCCGCCACGUGAUACAAAUGAUGAUACAAUAAAUAAAAUAAAAUUGAUUCAUACACGUAGUUUCAUUCUAACUGCUUUAUAGCCGUUACAUUACACACCCUUAUGAAGUAUAAACUGAAAUGUAACUAACGUACUACAAUGACUCACAGUUUAAAUGAACCGCUAACGUCGCGGUUAGGAACCAAACACAGCGUAGAG